Molecule: long non-coding RNA, 444 nt
Filed under: Capsella rubella
Lineage: Eukaryota; Viridiplantae; Streptophyta; Magnoliopsida; Brassicales; Brassicaceae
Description: long non-coding RNA (CRUB_LNC003666)
Source: RNAcentral
UUAAGUAUAGUUAAGACUUUGAUCCUUGUCUGCUAGAUGAACUUUAGAUAUUUGUAUUCGUUUUAUAUACUAUCUGAUUUUUUUUUUAAAGAUACAAAAUAAACUAAAAACACAACUUUAUACUGAUUAGACUGACACAAUAUUUGAAUAUUAUGUGUUCGAGAUUGAUUGGUUAAAAGCCUGCUAUGGUUUUUUGUUUUUUUUUUAUUGAGCAUGCAAGAUCAACAUAAUUAAUUAUAUACUCCAUAUACUAACUACCAAACUAAUCAACACUUAACAACCGUUAACCGUAUUAACUUCUGAUAGUACUUUAAAGAUGUUUAGUUUUCAGUGUGUAGAAGUGAUAUUUAUUUUCUUUUUCAUUUUUCUUUUACGUGGAAAAAUGCAGAGGGAAAAAUAAUGAAAUGAUGCAAAAGCUUACAAGAUAAGCACGAGAAAGAAAAG